This 253-nucleotide ribosomal RNA is filed under the name uncultured bacterium. RNAcentral describes it as "partial 16S ribosomal RNA". It matches the Rfam family "Bacterial small subunit ribosomal RNA", at positions 524 to 776 of the family's 1533-position model. The record is from RNAcentral.
UACGGGGGGGGCAAGCGUUGUUCGGAAUUACUGGGCGUAAAGGGCUCGUAGGUGGCCCCAUAAGUCAGACGUGAAAUCCCUCGGCUCAACCGAGGAACUGCGUCUGAGACUGUGGGGCUUGAAUCCGGGAGAGGGAUGCGGAAUUCCUGGUGUAGCGGUGAAAUGCGCAGAUAUCAGGAGGAACACCGAUUGCGAAGGCAGCUCGCUGGGACAUUACUGACGCCGAGACGCGAAAGCGUGGGGAGCAAACAGG